RNAcentral lists this ribosomal RNA (114 nucleotides) under Saimiri boliviensis boliviensis (Bolivian squirrel monkey). The record is from RNAcentral. Lineage: Eukaryota; Metazoa; Chordata; Mammalia; Primates; Cebidae.
ACAGCCACACCACCCUGAACACACCCGAUCUUGUCCGAUCUCAGAAGCUAAGCAGGGUCAAGCAUGGUUAGUACUUGGAUGGGAGACUAAUCUCCAUUUUCUAAGAGCACUGUU